AUUGAACGCUGGCGGCAUGCCUUACACAUGCAAGUCGAACGGCAGCACGGGUGCUUGCCCCUGGUGGCGAGUGGCGAACGAGUGAGUAAUACAUCGGAACAUGUCCUGUAGUGGGGGAUAGCCCGGCGAAAGCCGGAUUAAUACCGCAUACGAUCUACGGAUGACAGCGGGGGACCUUCGGGCCUCGCGCUAUAGGGUUGGCCGAUGGCUGAUUAGCUAGUUGGUGGGGUAAAGGCCUACCAAGGCGACGAUCAGUAGCUGGUCUGAGAGGACGACCAGCCACACUGGGACUGAGACACGGCCCAGACUCCUACGGGAGGCAGCAGUGGGGAAUUUUGGACAAUGGGCGAAAGCCUGAUCCAGCAAUGCCGCGUGUGUGAAGAAGGCCUUCGGGUUGUAAAGCACUUUUGUCCGGAAAGAAAUCCUUGGCCCUAAUACGGUCGGGGGAUGACGGUACCGGAAGAAUAAGCACCGGCUAACUACGUG
RNAcentral lists this ribosomal RNA (486 nucleotides) under uncultured bacterium. RNAcentral's name for it is "partial 16S ribosomal RNA". It matches the Rfam family "Bacterial small subunit ribosomal RNA", at positions 30 to 507 of the family's 1533-position model. The record is from RNAcentral.